AUUGAACGCCGGCGGCAUGCCUUACACAUGCAAGUCGAACGGUAACAGGUCUUCGGAUGCUGACGAGUGGCGAACGGGUGAGUAAUACAUCGGAACGUGCCUAGUAGUGGGGGAUAACUACUCGAAAGAGUGGCUAAUACCGCAUGAGAUCUACGGAUGAAAGCAGGGGAUCGCAAGACCUUGUGCUACUAGAGCGGCCGAUGGCAGAUUAGGUAGUUGGUGGGAUAAAAGCUUACCAAGCCGACGAUCUGUAGCUGGUCUGAGAGGACGAUCAGCCACACUGGGACUGAGAAACGGCCCAGACUCCUACGGGAGGCAGCAGUGGGGAAUUUUGGACAAUGGGCGCAAGCCUGAUCCAGCAAUGCCGCGUGCAGGAUGAAGGCCUUCGGGUUGUAAACUGCCUUUGUACGGAACGAAAAGCCCCGGGUUAAUACCCUGGGGUCAUGACGGUACCGUAAGAAUAAGCACCGGCUAACUACGUGCCAGCCGCCGCCGUAA
Molecule: ribosomal RNA, 498 nt
Filed under: uncultured bacterium
Lineage: Bacteria
Description: partial 16S ribosomal RNA
Rfam family: Bacterial small subunit ribosomal RNA
Source: RNAcentral